RNAcentral lists this ribosomal RNA (733 nucleotides) under Burkholderia contaminans. Its description in RNAcentral is "bacterial SSU rRNA". It matches the Rfam family "Bacterial small subunit ribosomal RNA", at positions 54 to 780 of the family's 1533-position model. The record is from RNAcentral. Lineage: Bacteria; Pseudomonadati; Pseudomonadota; Betaproteobacteria; Burkholderiales; Burkholderiaceae.
CAUGCAAGUCGAACGGCAGCACGGGUGCUUGCACCUGGUGGCGAGUGGCGAACGGGUGAGUAAUACAUCGGAACAUGUCCUGUAGUGGGGGAUAGCCCGGCGAAAGCCGGAUUAAUACCGCAUACGAUCUACGGAUGAAAGCGGGGGACCUUCGGGCCUCGCGCUAUAGGGUUGGCCGAUGGCUGAUUAGCUAGUUGGUGGGGUAAAGGCCUACCAAGGCGACGAUCAGUAGCUGGUCUGAGAGGACGACCAGCCACACUGGGACUGAGACACGGCCCAGACUCCUACGGGAGGCAGCAGUGGGGAAUUUUGGACAAUGGGCGAAAGCCUGAUCCAGCAAUGCCGCGUGUGUGAAGAAGGCCUUCGGGUUGUAAAGCACUUUUGUCCGGAAAGAAAUCCUUGGCUCUAAUACAGUCGGGGGAUGACGGUACCGGAAGAAUAAGCACCGGCUAACUACGUGCCAGCAGCCGCGGUAAUACGUAGGGUGCGAGCGUUAAUCGGAAUUACUGGGCGUAAAGCGUGCGCAGGCGGUUUGCUAAGACCGAUGUGAAAUCCCCGGGCUCAACCUGGGAACUGCAUUGGUGACUGGCAGGCUAGAGUAUGGCAGAGGGGGGUAGAAUUCCACGUGUAGCAGUGAAAUGCGUAGAGAUGUGGAGGAAUACCGAUGGCGAAGGCAGCCCCCUGGGCCAAUACUGACGCUCAUGCACGAAAGCGUGGGGAGCAAACAGGAUUA